AUUGAACGCUGGCGGCAUGCCUUACACAUGCAAGUCGAACGGCAGCAUAGAGAGCUUGCUCUCUGAUGGCGAGUGGCGAACGGGUGAGUAAAGCAUCGGAACGUACCGUGUAGUGGGGGAUAACGUAGCGAAAGUUACGCUAAUACCGCAUACGUACUGAGGUAGAAAGCAGGGGAUCGUAAGACCUUGCGCUAUACGAGCGGCCGAUGUCAGAUUAGCUAGUUGGUAGGGUAAAGGCCUACCAAGGCGACGAUCUGUAGCGGGUCUGAGAGGAUGAUCCGCCACACUGGGACUGAGACACGGCCCAGACUCCUACGGGAGGCAGCAGUGGGGAAUUAUGGACAAUGGGGGCAACCCUGAGCCAGCCAUGCCGCGUGAGUGAAGAAGGCCUUCGGGUUGUAAAGCUCUUUCGGCCGGGAAGAAAUCGCACAGGCUAAUACCCUGUGUGGAUGACGGUACCGGCAUAAGAAGCACCGGCUAACUACGUGCCAGCCGCCGCGGUAA
This 504-nucleotide ribosomal RNA is filed under the name uncultured bacterium. RNAcentral describes it as "partial 16S ribosomal RNA". It matches the Rfam family "Bacterial small subunit ribosomal RNA", at positions 30 to 523 of the family's 1533-position model. The record is from RNAcentral.